RNAcentral lists this long non-coding RNA (319 nucleotides) under Salvia miltiorrhiza (redroot sage). Its description in RNAcentral is "long non-coding RNA (SMIL_LNC007111)". The record is from RNAcentral. Lineage: Eukaryota; Viridiplantae; Streptophyta; Magnoliopsida; Lamiales; Lamiaceae.
CCGCCUCUGCAAGCAAGGGGGAAUUUGGGAAUGGUGAAAAGAAUUUAGCUUUUUGUUUAUUUCCUUUAAGUUUGUCCCUUACUUCCUUCAAGUUCGUUAUGAGAGGCUCCUAUCCUAGAUCCAGGUCACUACAUUUUAUGUUUCUUUUCCAUAUUAUUUUAAUUUGAUUUUAGUAGUAUUAUUGUUAAUUGUUUGAUUAAUGUUUCUUCAUUGUGGUGGAUUUUAGUUGUAGAAGUCGUUGUGGAGCGUGGUAUUCGUUAGAGGGAAUCACAUCAGUCUGCCAUAGGUGUUCAUCGCAAUCUUCUACGGCCGAUCAAGG